This 168-nucleotide ribosomal RNA is filed under the name Eremolaena rotundifolia. RNAcentral describes it as "5.8S ribosomal RNA". It matches the Rfam family "5.8S ribosomal RNA". From Rfam's summary of the family: 5.8S ribosomal RNA (5.8S rRNA) is a component of the large subunit of the eukaryotic ribosome. It is transcribed by RNA polymerase I as part of the 45S precursor that also contains 18S and 28S rRNA. Lineage: Eukaryota; Viridiplantae; Streptophyta; Magnoliopsida; Malvales; Sarcolaenaceae. The record is from RNAcentral.
CACGAACGACUCUCGGCAACGGAUAUCUCGGCUCUCGCAUCGAUGAAGAACGUAGCGAAAUGCGAUACUUGGUGUGAAUUGCAGAAUCCCGUGAACCAUCGAGUCUUUGAACGCAAGUUGCGCCCCAANNNNNNNNUCUGAGGGCACGUCUGCCUGGGUGUCACGCAU